This 246-nucleotide long non-coding RNA is filed under the name Vigna radiata. Its description in RNAcentral is "long non-coding RNA (VRAD_LNC015807)". Lineage: Eukaryota; Viridiplantae; Streptophyta; Magnoliopsida; Fabales; Fabaceae. The record is from RNAcentral.
UGUUUGUGUAAAUAUGGUGUGUAUCUUGUCUCUUAGAGUUGUGUCCUAAAUAGAAAAAAAAAAGACAAGAUGAAAAAGAAAAAAAAUACGGAAAAAUGAGAAAGAAAUAAAAAAAAAUUGUGAAAAAGGAGUCAAGAAGAGGAUGAAAUUAGAGGUUUUGGGUGUGGGUAUACUGUGUUUACACUUGUUCCCCAUUGCUCCUCUAUUUCCUUUGGUUUAUAGCUUCUCACCCAUAUUUAUCCUCCC